UCACUACUUGCGUAGGCUGUCCGGUGUAGUCUAGCCCAGGUAAGGUUCUUCGCGUUGCGUCGAAUUGAACCACAUGCUCCACCGCUUGUGCGGGCCCCCGUCAAUUCCUUUGAGUUUUAACCUUGCGGCCGUAGUCCCCAGGCGGGGCACUUAAUGCGUUAGCUGCGGCACCCGGGGGGUCAAUACCCCGGACACCUAGUGCCCAUCGUUUACAGCGUGGACUAC
RNAcentral lists this unclassified non-coding RNA (225 nucleotides) under uncultured delta proteobacterium. Its description in RNAcentral is "contains 16S-23S intergenic spacer region". Lineage: Bacteria; Deltaproteobacteria. The record is from RNAcentral.